ACGAGCGGAUUCUAACCCCAUUGUCAUGUAGAAGACUACGAUUGCAGUCACUAGUGAAAAGAUCGCGAGAAAAUGCCAUUUGGAUUCAUCUUGAUAACGGGCCUGUUAGCUUUCGGCGCCUACUGGACAACGAAAUAUUUAAUGAGCAUGCCUGAACCCCACUCAGCAUCUGUAACGCCACCCGCGACCGUCCCUGAACCAGGCGCAUGGAAAAUAUA
Papilio xuthus (Asian swallowtail) is the source of this 218-nucleotide long non-coding RNA. RefSeq lists it as uncharacterized. The record is from RefSeq and is a predicted model, not a curated record. NCBI's taxonomy places the organism in Eukaryota, Metazoa, Arthropoda, Insecta, Lepidoptera, Papilionidae. The transcript has 2 exons.